RNAcentral lists this ribosomal RNA (466 nucleotides) under uncultured Enterococcus sp. RNAcentral's name for it is "bacterial SSU rRNA". It matches the Rfam family "Bacterial small subunit ribosomal RNA", at positions 338 to 795 of the family's 1533-position model. Lineage: Bacteria; Bacillati; Bacillota; Bacilli; Lactobacillales; Enterococcaceae. The record is from RNAcentral.
CCUACGGGUGGCUGCAGUAGGGAAUCUUCGGCAAUGGACGAAAGUUUGACCGAGCAACGCCGCGUGAGUGAAGAAGGUUUUCGGAUCGUAAAACUCUGUUGUUAGAGAAGAACAAGGAUGAGAGUAGAAUGUUCAUCCCUUGACGGUAUCUAACCAGAAAGCCACGGCUAACUACGUGCCAGCAGCCGCGGUAAUACGUAGGUGGCAAGCGUUGUCCGGAUUUAUUGGGCGUAAAGCGAGCGCAGGCGGUUUCUUAAGUCUGAUGUGAAAGCCCCCGGCUCAACCGGGGAGGGUCAUUGGAAACUGGGAAACUUGAGUGCAGAAGGGGAGAGUGGAAUUCCAUGUGUAGCGGUGAAAUGCGUAGAUAUAUGGGGGAACACCAGUGGCGAAGGCGGCUCUCUGGUCUGUAACUGACGCUGAGGCUCGAAAGCGUGGGGAGCAAACAGGAUUAGAUACCCCAGUAGUC